This 402-nucleotide ribosomal RNA is filed under the name uncultured bacterium. RNAcentral describes it as "bacterial SSU rRNA". It matches the Rfam family "Bacterial small subunit ribosomal RNA", at positions 355 to 774 of the family's 1533-position model. The record is from RNAcentral.
UCGGGAAUUUUGGGCAAUGGGCGAAAGCCUGACCCAGCAACGCCGCGUGAAGGAUGAAGUAUUUCGGUAUGUAAACUUCGAAAGAAUAGGAAGAAUAAAUGACGGUACUAUUUAUAAGCUCCGGCUAACUACGUGCCAGCAGCCGCGGUAAUACGCAGGGAGCAAGCGUUGUUCGGAUUUACUGGGCGUAAAGGGCGCGUAGGCGGCGCGGUAAGUCACUUGUGAAAUCUCUGAGCUUAACUCAGAACGGCCAAGUGAUACUGCAGGGCUAGAGUGCAGAAAGGGCAAUCGGAAUUCUUGGUGUAGCGGUGAAAUGCGUAGAUAUCAAGAGGAACACCGGAGGCGAAGGCGGGUUGCUAGGCUGACACUGACGCUGAGGCGCGAAAGCCAGGGGAGCAAACG